RNAcentral lists this ribosomal RNA (252 nucleotides) under uncultured bacterium. RNAcentral's name for it is "partial 16S ribosomal RNA". It matches the Rfam family "Bacterial small subunit ribosomal RNA", at positions 524 to 776 of the family's 1533-position model. The record is from RNAcentral.
UACAGAGGGUGCGAGCGUUGUCCGGAUUUAUUGGGCGUAAAGAGCUCGUAGGCGGCUUGUCGCGUCGAAUGUGAAAUCUCAGGGCUCAACUCUGACAUUGCAUUCGAUACGGGCAGGCUAGAGUUCGGUAGGGGAGACUGGAAUUCCUGGUGUAGCGGUGAAAUGCGCAGAUAUCAGGAGGAACACCGGUGGCGAAGGCGGGUCUCUGGGCCGAUACUGACGUGAGGAGCGAAAGCGUGGGGAGCGAACAGG